Molecule: unclassified non-coding RNA, 352 nt
Filed under: soil metagenome
Description: partial contains 5.8S ribosomal RNA, internal transcribed spacer 2, and large subunit ribosomal RNA
Rfam family: 5.8S ribosomal RNA (bases 1-120)
Source: RNAcentral
GAUGAAGAACGUAGCGAAAUGCGAUAAGUAAUGUGAAUUGCAGAAUUCAGUGAAUCAUCGAAUCUUUGAACGCACAUUGCGCCCGCCUGUAUUCUGGCGGGCAUGCCUGUUCGAGCGUCAUUACAACCCUCAGGCCCCCGGGCCUGGCGUUGGGGAUCGGCGGAGCCCCCCGUGGGCACACGCCGUCCCCCAAAUACAGUGGCGGUCCCGCCGCAGCUUCCAUCGCGUAGUAGCUAACACCUCGCGACUGGAGAGCGGCGCGGCCACGCCGUAAAACACCCAACUCUUCUGAAGUUGACCUCGAAUCAGGUAGGAAUACCCGCUGAACUUAAGCAUAUCAAUAAGCGGAGGA